AGAAGGAACUUGAGCGGUAGCACAGGGUCUUUCUUCUCCGCCUUAACCUUCAGCUCUGGCUCUGCGUCUGCUACUGGCUCCAUCGCCUUCUCCUCCAAGGUGAGCCCCGGCUCUGUCUGCACUGCCUUAACCUUCAGCUCUGGCUCUGCGUCUGCUACUGGCUCCAUCGCCUUCUCCUCCAAGGUGAGCCCUGGCUCUGUCUGCACUGCCUUAACCUUCAGCUCUGGCUCUGCGUCUGCUACUGGCUCCGUCGCCUUCUUCUCCAAGGUGAGCCCCGGCUCUGUCUGCACUGCCUUAACCUUCAGCUCUGGCUCUGCGUCUGCUGCUGGCUCCAUCGCCUUCUCCUCCAAGGUGAGCCCCGACUCUGUCCGCACUGCCUUAACCUUCAGCUCUGGCUCUGCGUCUGCUGCUGGCUCCAUCGCCUUCUCCUCCAAGGUUUGCCCCGGCUCUGUCUUCACCUCCUUAACCUUCAGCUUUGGCUCUCCACCUGCUACUGGCUCCAUCGCCUUCUCCAAGUUGAGCCCGGGCUCUGUCUGCACCGCUUUAUCCUCCAAGGUGGCUGCCGCCUCCAUUUGCAUACUCAGCUUCUCUAUAUCCAUCAUCAGCAAGUUGCGUCCCCACUCAUUCUGCACCGCCUUAUCCUCCAAGGUGGCUGGCACCUCUAUUCCCAUAUGCAGCUUCUCUAUUUCCGUCAUCAGCAAGUCCACCUUAUCCUUACAGAUGGACAUCACAUCCAUUCCCAUAUUCAGCUUCUCCAUUACCAUAUUGAGC
RNAcentral lists this long non-coding RNA (771 nucleotides) under Brachypodium distachyon (stiff brome). RNAcentral describes it as "long non-coding RNA (BDIS_LNC000265)". Lineage: Eukaryota; Viridiplantae; Streptophyta; Magnoliopsida; Poales; Poaceae. The record is from RNAcentral.